This 253-nucleotide ribosomal RNA is filed under the name uncultured bacterium. RNAcentral describes it as "partial 16S ribosomal RNA". It matches the Rfam family "Bacterial small subunit ribosomal RNA", at positions 524 to 776 of the family's 1533-position model. The record is from RNAcentral.
UACGAAGGGGGCUAGCGUUGUUCGGAUUUACUGGGCGUAAAGCGCACGUAGGCGGAUCGUUAAGUCGGGGGUGAAAUCCUGGAGCUCAACUCCAGAACUGCCUUCGAUACUGGCGAUCUUGAGUCCGGAAGAGGUGAGUGGAACUCCUAGUGUAGAGGUGGAAUUCGUAGAUAUUAGGAAGAACACCAGGUGGCGAAGCGGCUCACUGGUCCGGUACUGACGCUGAGGUGCGAAAGCGUGGGGAGCAAACAGG